Molecule: non-coding RNA, 474 nt
Organism: Neolamprologus brichardi
Lineage: Eukaryota; Metazoa; Chordata; Actinopteri; Cichliformes; Cichlidae
Source: RefSeq, a predicted model, not a curated record
AGGAAGGGAAAAUGAUGUUCGAACAGGAACUCUACCACAACUUCUUCAUCAGCAACUCCAGACCCUACUUCAUUACAUUUGCAGGAGAUACAUGUCAGAUUGGUUUGAACUUCGCCAGCGAAGAAGAAGCCAAACGAUUCAGAGCCACCAUUGAUGACUUGCUCAACCGACGACAGCGGAAAAUAGAGAAAAGAGGCGACCCUAAAAAUGGUAUGUUAAACUCUUAAUAAGUUUUGCUUACGUAGGCUCUUAACUUUAGUUAAUUUUGUAAAAAGUAUUUUUCUCAUUCAGGCUUUAAAAAAUUCAAUAACAAGUACAUAGAAAUGAAUAAAAUGAGGAUGUCAUCCAUCCUCUGAAGUAAAAAAAACAAAGAAAUACAGCAAGAUGCAACAUGUGGAGAAAUGGCAAAGUAAACGUUUCAGUUAUCCAAGGAUUCAAUAGAGGAUAGAAAUAUGCUAAAACUGUAGCAUACGA